AAUUUGAUGUGGACAUUGUAUUUGUAGCUCCCCAAAUCUUUCCCAAGCUUCAAAGAAUUCUUCCAUAUGUUUUUGUCUAAAAAUUUGGAUCUUGUUUCUUAACACU
This 106-nucleotide small nucleolar RNA is filed under the name Thalictrum thalictroides. RNAcentral's name for it is "Plant small nucleolar RNA R71". It matches the Rfam family "Plant small nucleolar RNA R71". Rfam says of the family: R71 is a member of the C/D box family of snoRNAs containing the C (UGAUGA) and D (CUGA) box motifs. Multiple nearly identical copies of this snoRNA have been identified in Arabidopsis, and it is thought to function as a 2'-O-ribose methylation guide for 18S ribosomal RNA. The record is from Rfam by way of RNAcentral. Lineage: Eukaryota; Viridiplantae; Streptophyta; Magnoliopsida; Ranunculales; Ranunculaceae.